Molecule: ribosomal RNA, 497 nt
Filed under: uncultured bacterium
Lineage: Bacteria
Description: partial 16S ribosomal RNA
Rfam family: Bacterial small subunit ribosomal RNA
Source: RNAcentral
GAUGAACGCUGGCGGCGUGCCUAAUACAUGCAAGUCGAGCGAACGGACGAGAAGCUUGCUUCUCUGAUGUUAGCGGCGGACGGGUGAGUAACACGUGGAUAACCUACCUAUAAGACUGGGAUAACUUCGGGAAACCGGAGCUAAUACCGGAUAAUAUUUUGAACCGCAUGGUUCAAAAGUGAAAGACGGUCUUGCUGUCACUUAUAGAUGGAUCCGCGCUGCAUUAGCUAGUUGGUAAGGUAACGGCUUACCAAGGCAACGAUGCAUAGCCGACCUGAGGGGGUGAUCAGCCACACUGGAACUGAGACACGGUCCAGACUCCUACGGGAGGCAGCAGUAGGGAAUCUUCCGCAAUGGGCGAAAGCCUGACGGAGCAACGCCGCGUGAGUGAUGAAGGUCUUCGGAUCGUAAAACUCUGUUAUUAGGGAAGAACAUAUGUGUAAGUAACUGUGCACAUCUUGACGGUACCUAAUCAGAAAGCCACGGCUAACUACGUG